Long non-coding RNA from Lolium perenne, 1223 nucleotides. RefSeq lists it as uncharacterized. Lineage: Eukaryota; Viridiplantae; Streptophyta; Magnoliopsida; Poales; Poaceae. The record is from RefSeq and is a predicted model, not a curated record.
UGUGGGUGAAAGCCCUCUUCAGUACCUUCAUUUUGGCGUUGGUUUUACUUCAAAUGACCUCCUGAAAUUGAAAUGGUUACCAGAUCAAGUUCUGGUCAGAUCUGACUUUGUCGAAUUAAACCAGGAGAUUGGAGACGAAUCUCUGAAUGAAACCAACUGGGGGAUAAUUGGUUUAUACCAUGGUGAUAACCGAGAGAGGAAAUUGCUAAGUUGUGAUGCACUCAUGCCUCUACUAGAUGCGAACUAUUCCGGAGGAAAAGAAGAAGAGGAAUCGGACGAGGAUUUUAUUUAUGUUAUUGGGAUUCUUAUAUUGAUGGAGUUGAAGAAUUCCAGGGACAAAUAAGCCAAGGCAAGCCAUCUUUUGACCUCUUGCUUUUUAUCCUUCUUGUUGUGCUCAUUGCUCCAUUAUAUACUUGGUUCCUUGUAUCAUGUGUGAUUUUUGGUCCUCUACUCUAUGCAUACUUAUUCCCAAAGUAUGUUGAACCCCUUGUUGAUGAUUUGCAUACUUGCUCCCAAGUAUGUGAACCCCCUUGUUGAUGUUAUGCAUGCUUACCCUAAGCAUGUAUGCCCCCUUGACCAUAUCCAUGUUGUCAUCUUCUUAGUGGUAUGAUGAUUAACAUCAUGACCCCUGUUUGAAUCAUCUUAAUUAUGUUGUCCCUAUACAUGCUUAUCCUAAGUAUGUAUGAUCCCCUUAAAACCUCAAUUAUCAUCCCCUUAGUGGUAUGAUGGUUAGCAUCAUGUCAUUGUGACUCUUAGUUCAUUCAUAAAACCAUAGGUUGGGAACCCCUUGGAAAAAGACCUUGUUGAAAAGAAUUUUUGAAAACCUUGGGUGAGUUGGACUUACCCAAGCGUGUGUUUAUGAAAGGAAAGGAUCUUGGCAAAGAUGGUGGAAAAGAAAAUCUUGUUUUCGAAAACUUUGGCGCCUAAGUAUUCACCCGUGACAAUUAACCCGCGCAACCACAUUACCCUGGAGUGGGACGGGGCUUAGCUCGUAGUUUGUUCUUCUUAACAUGGGACACCGCACAACUAUAUAAGGGUAAGGUUACCCCUGAAUCCGGAUUGUCGUUGGUGGAGACAAUAGUAUAACGGGAGGCCUUCAGGGCUGACCCGUCCGGAAGACACUAUGGGUCUCCUGGCUUGGCGGUGGAGUGAUACGUCUCCAACGUAUCGAUAAUUUCUUAUGUUCCAUGCCACAUUAUUGAUGUUAUCUACAUGUUUUAUGC